UGAAUACGAGACGCUAAGGCGUCGAAGUAGUGUAUGUCAUACUUCCAAGAAAAGCUUGCACUGUCAUAGAUAAAAAACGCCUGUACCAUAACCGACACAGGUGGGUAGGUAGAGUAUACUAAGGGGCGCGAGAUAACUCUCUCUAAGGAACUCGGCAAAAUAACUCCGUAACUUCGGGAGAAGGAGUGCCUUAUUCGUAAGGUUGCAAUAACAAGAUCCAAGCAACUGUUUAUCAAAAACACAGGUCUCCGCUAAGUCGUAAGACGAUGUAUGGGGGCUGACGCCUGCCCAGUGCCAGAAGGUUAAAGAAGUUGGUUAGCAAUUGCGAAGCUGAUAACUGAAGCCCUGGUGAACGGCGGCCGUAACGAUAACGGUCCUAAGGUAGCGAAAUUCCUUGUCGGGUAAGUUCCGACCCGCACGAAAGGCGUAAUGAUUUGGAUACUGUCUCGGAGAGGGGCUCGGUGAAAUAGACUUGUCUGUGAAGAUGCGGACUACCUGCACCAGGACAGAAAGACCCUAUGAAGCUUUACUGUAACUUGAAAUUGAAAUUGGACUUUAUUCGCGCAGUAUAGGUGGGAGGCGUUGAUUAUAAUCUUGUGGGAUUAUUGGAGCCAUCAGUGAGAUACCACUCUUGUAAUGUUAGAUUUCUAACUUUGAAUCAUUAUCUGGUCAAAGAACAGUUUCAGGCGGGCAGUUUGACUGGGGCGGUCGCCUCCUAAACGGUAACGGAGGCGUACAAAGGUUUCCUCUGAACGGUUAGAAAUCGUAUCUAGAGUGUAAAGGCAUAAGGAAGCUUGACUGUGAGACCUACAAGUCGAGCAGGGACGAAAGUCGGUCUUAGUGAUCUGACGGUACUGAGUGGAAAGGCCGUCACUCAACGGAUAAAAGUUACUCUAGGAUAACAGGCUGAUCUCCCCCAAGAGUUCACAUCGACGGGGAGGUUUGGCACCUUGAUGUCGGCUCAUCGCAUCCUGGGGCGGUAGUACGUCCCAAGGGUUGGGCUGUUCGCCCAUGAAAGCGGUACGCGAGCUGGGUUCAGAACGUCGUGAGACAGUUCGGUCCAUAUCCGGUGUAGGCGUUAGAAUAUUGAGAGGAGCCUUCUUUAGUACGAGAGGACCGAGAAGGACAUACCUCUGGUGUACCAGUUAUUGUGCCAACGGUAAACGCUGGGUAGCUAUGUAUGGAGUGGAUAACCGCUGAAAGCAUCUAAGUGGGAAGCCCACCUCAAGAUAAGUAUUCUCAU
RNAcentral lists this ribosomal RNA (1243 nucleotides) under metagenome. Its description in RNAcentral is "bacterial LSU rRNA". It matches the Rfam family "Bacterial large subunit ribosomal RNA", at positions 1564 to 2817 of the family's 2925-position model. The record is from RNAcentral.